Molecule: ribosomal RNA, 253 nt
Filed under: uncultured bacterium
Lineage: Bacteria
Description: partial 16S ribosomal RNA
Rfam family: Bacterial small subunit ribosomal RNA
Source: RNAcentral
UACAGAGGUGGCAAGCGUUGUUCGGAAUCACUGGGCGUAAAGGGCGUGUAGGCGGGAAGGACAGUCAGAUGUGAAAUCCCUGGGCUCAACCCAGGAACUGCAUUUGAAACUCCCUUUCUUGAGUGUCGGAGAGGAAAGUGGAAUUCCUGGUGUAGAGGUGAAAUUCGUAGAUAUUAGGAAGAACACCAGUGGCGAAGGCGGCUCACUGGCCCGGUACUGACGCUGAGGCGCGAAAGCGUGGGGAGCAAACAGG